Triticum aestivum (bread wheat) is the source of this 4459-nucleotide long non-coding RNA. RefSeq lists it as uncharacterized. NCBI's taxonomy places the organism in Eukaryota, Viridiplantae, Streptophyta, Magnoliopsida, Poales, Poaceae. The transcript has 4 exons. The record is from RefSeq and is a predicted model, not a curated record.
CUCCCGAACCGGUAUACGGGUGAGAGAAAAGAAAAUAAAAAUAGCCCAGCCAGCAGCACGACAUGUCCUCCAAUCCUGCAGCACCGCCGCCUCCUGCCCGCCCCGCCUCACCGAGCGCCACGGGCCACCCUCUCCGCCGAGCGCCGACACCGCCUACCCGCCUCCCAUUGGGAUCCCCAAGCGUCUGACCCCGGUCGCCUUUCAUCGCCAGUACCUACAGAUCCGGCUGCCCAUCGCCUUCCCGGCUUCCCCGUCGGCUGCACCUCCCAGCGCCGCCACCCCCACCCCUGCCAAGCUCCGCCACUAGAGGAUCUCCACCGCCUGGAUCCACAUCCCCAUGGCCGGAACGGGUCCUCCUCGAGGAGCCGCGCAUCCUCUGCCUGCUCGAACGCUGCACAUAUCAUAUGCUAGGUUGAAUCCCACCGCCUACGACCGUUGCUGCCAUCAGAUCAGGAACAUGCAGGUUUGUAUUGUUUCCAGUGUAUGUUGGUCAUGCAUCGGAUGUCACUCGGUUUCUAGGAAUUUCAAGAUGGCAUCAAAGAAACCAACAAACAAGGAGAGAAAACUUAAACAAGAGAGAUGUAUGAGGAUGCCGGUGUCUCAUCAAACAUGUAUUGUGUGAGGACACUCUUCAUCCGACCUAAUCUUGACGAUCAUCCGCAGGUACACACAUACAUGUUCUUCCUUGCCGCCUCUUGGUUUAGUUCACAUGUCUUGAAUUACUUUGAUCCUUUUGGUGACAUCAAACUGGGUUGCAUAGAAGUAACUGCUAACUGGGUUUGACCUUUGUGAGGAAUCUACAACAACACUUCAAAACUCCGCAAGCUUACGCCUGACCACAUGUCGGAACUCGAUAAUACAACAGUGUACGAUGCACCAGAGGUUCCAAUGGAUAUCUGUCGAAGCGAUGUGGUCAUUAGCACGUAUGCUCACAGUCUCCUGGUAGAGCAUUUUCCCUUAAACGAUGCUACUGUCACAUGAUGCAUAUCAUGGUUUUGCUGGUUGGUAAUUUGACCUGCACAACACUUGCUGAUAUUAUCCUUUCCAGGAUGCGGAAUGAUUCUUCAAUUUGGGGUGCUAACUAUGCUAGCUUCAUAUUGCUGAAUGUAGGAGCUUAUUUUUUUCUUGUUAGUUACUAAAUGAUAUUGGGCAGGGAAUCUGAAUGAACUAUUCUUUCUGAUUCUUGGAGUUACAUGUGUGAUUGCUUAGACUCUUCUAAUACUGUCAUAGUCUUGUUGGUUGCUUGGCUGAAAUAGUUUCUUAUGGGCCUCGUUCUGGACCUGUUCCCACUUAUAUAGAAUAUAUUUUCCACUGGUUUCAUCAAACAAAAAAGUCAUAGACAUUAAAUAUUUAAAGUUUUGUCUUGUUCAUACUUUCUAAAAUCUGAAACUAUACUGAAAUCAUCAUAGAAAUUCUGCAAGUAAGAAUAUUAAAGGUACCCGUGUCAUUCAUCCCUACUAGAUGAUGAAUGCUAUUGCUAUUUUUUUCUCAAAGAUGCCUCAUUUUCAUUAAGAAGAAAGCUCAAUAGACCAAAAUUCCAUAUCAUUUCUUCUUUCUUAAGGAAAACUGUCUAUAGGUAGCAAUCACAGAUGUUCAGCCUAUUUUCAGUUGACAAUAUACUGAAUAAUUUGACAGUGAAAAAGUACAGAAAAUGCUCUUAAGAAAAUGAAUCAAUUCGCGUGGAAAAUAUCUUAGGCAGCAAAUCCACCAGGUUUGAGAUGUUCACAGAAACAUGUCAGUUUUAGGAAACUAUAAUUCAGAAUUGUUUGCCGCACUAUAAUGUUUCAGGCAUUCAGAAACAUUGCCCAUGAUGUUAAUAUGUUGACUAGGGGCCUUUGGUAGCUACUUUAAUGCAAAUUGUAGUACCACAGUGUCCUACUGCUUAUAUUAAAUUGCAAUGUGAAAGUAAAAUAAAACUUAGGAUUUGGUUGUCUAUCUGAUCCAUCAGUAAGCAAGCAAGGGUCAUGUUGUCAGGAAGAGAGUUCAAAAACCAUCAAUCUCAGGAACACUCUGACCAUGUAUUUGACUAUGUUGAAUACCCAAUAUAUGAUAAGAUGCUAUUUUCAUUUGCUAGGCAACCAUGAAAAAGUUUCUUCCCGAUUUAUAAUUUAAAUUAGUCUUGUGUGUUCUUUUAUUCAGUUAUUCUAAUUUUACUCAUGUGUGUUCUUUUAUUUAGUUCUGUGAGGAAGAAGAAGGGAUUACAUCGAUGUGUAAUAUAUUCUUUGUUCUGCAACCAUACCUACAUGAGAUUAUAGUUCAGUUAGAAAUCUGAGAUUAUUUUCCUCCAGAAAUGAGCAUUAGCCCUCAGAACAGAAACGACCUGCACAACUAUCCUCCUACUUAAUUAUUAAUCUGUAUGUUCAUUAUUACAGUAAGUCCAGAAACUGCAUUUGUGUAUUUGUACCAAGCUUCCUUGCUCAUCUUAUUCUGUACGUACCAUUUUGUAUGUCGGAAAGCAAUGGUUUCUAUAUAGAGCUAUAGUUCAUCUAUAUGUUUCUGCUGCCUAUAUAUUAUUCAUGUGUUUCCCUCACCUGCUAUUUGAAUGACAUAAUCCUUCAGAUCUUUCCCAAGUUUGGUGUUAAAGCUAACACGACUCCUCCUUCAUGUAAAUACAACUUUGAACGAAGGAAAGCAAGACAGUGCCGCCUUUAUAUCUUGGAUCACUCCAUAGCAGGGAGCAAGAGUGGCCACAUCCGAGUUUAGAUAUUCAGUCACUGUUUUGCAAUCCAUCCCAAGCUCCACGGGUCCUCUGAAAACUUUUGCCAGAGCAUGUAGCCAAACCAGGGCUUCCUGGGCUUCAUCUUCCUCCACACUAUCGAAAACUGGUAACUGACAGUAUGUCGACAGAUACACUUAGCCUCUGUAAUCCCUGGCUACAGCCCCCACCCAUCCCGGCCACUGAUCUGCUAAAAACUUGCGUCAGUGUUCAACUAGGCUGAGCCCUAUUAGGGUGGAGUCCACUGUAUGGGUGGCAGUGAAGGAGGUAUUUAUGUGGUAAACGACGGGGAUAGUUGUUCCUUUCCCUUCUCUGAACUCUUCUUUUCCAUCGCAUCGCCCAUCUCUUGCUCGUACUUCUGCAGGAAGCUGACAGAGUGCAGGACAUAUUCUUUUCCUAGAUGGACUACUACAACGCACGGGCAUUUUCACAAAGAGAACAUAGGGAUUUUAAGUUUUUUAUAGCAUGCACUGGAGGCUGUAGAGUUAAGUUUUUGUACAUUUUGUGAAUCAUUUUGUUCCAUAUUCUCUUAGUGUAUAUAAUCUAACUAUAGAAGGUUAUUUACUAUCUGCAAAUUUGCCUUUUCCAUUGCUGAUCAUGUCCUCUCUGUGCACUUACAUCCUUAUGUUAAGAGUGUAGUGAUCUAAUGAUUAUUCAGAAGGGAUGUGCAUGUUCCUAGAUGCAUAGCUUUUCUUAUAUACUCCCUUUGUUCCUAAAUAUUUAUCUUUUUAGAUAUUUCAAAUGGACUACCACAUACGGAUGUAUAUAGUCAUAUUUUAGAGUGAAGAUUCACUCAUUUUGCUCCGUAUAUAGUCACUUGUUGAAAUCUCUAGAAAGACAAAUAUUUAGGAACGGAGGGAGUAGAUUUUCAUUACACUGAGAUUUUUUUAAGGGAUAACAAUGGUAUUUAAGAUAGUUUUUUUGUAGUUAUUUUGUAGAAUUCUCAAACUGAAAUCCAAACAAAGCAUACCUUCAAAGGCCAUCAUAAUGGCACUUAAAAUAAAUGCUAAUCUGCACUCAUGCGGCAAUCUGGUGCCCAUUCUUCUGGUGAUUUGGUCAAAGCUACAACCAAGCAAAGAUAUUUUACAUGCUAUAAGAAUUAAGUUAUGGAUUUUUGUGUUCCCAGGUCUAUAAUAUGCGUGCUCUCCUGGUUCCCUGCAAGCUCUUUUGGCCAUGACCUCAAGUUCUGCAGCUAGGCCGUGAAUGUGUUGGUCCUUCUCACCGUCCACUGAUGAUGGGGCCCAAGAGAAGUCAGGGAAGGAGAAAAGGAUGUUGCUAUCGCGUGGUCGUCGGAACAACUUGCCAUGGACACAGCCAUGCACUGGAUGCCAUCGACAGCUAGUCGUGGAUGAGCACCUCGCCGCCUCUGCAAAAUAUGGAUGCACGGGAUUCUGCUACUAACAUUGGGGAGUGUGUACUGUUGCGGUGCUGUGACAUAUACACUCUAUGGAAGAAACCCCUGUUUGAUUUACAGGGGAUGCUGAUUUGGAAUCUACUUUUGACAGAUCAAUCUGGUUUGUUGGCUGCUGGGUGGCUUCAUGUGACGCCGCAGUGCACUAGGGAGAGGUACCGAGGUCCCCAGAGCUACAUGGUUCAUGAUUGGCAAUUGGUCGUGGGCAAUGGAACUAAAAUGUCUACUGAAUGUUCAUGGAUAUCUUAAAAGGAGAACAAUUCAUACUUUAGAUGUACAUAAUAUUUGAUGCAUCAGUCUAAUCUGUAGUUCAAAUUACAGUGUAUGAUUUG